UGGUUUAAUAUGUGGUUAAUCUGUUGAGUUCUGCGUUGAUUUGUGUUUUGGGUGCAUGGGGAAAGGUGGCGACGGGCGUAAAACAUGAAUCAGGGGAAAUUUACGUUUACUCACCGUUUGUUUGGGGUAGUUAUCUGCGAAUAAGGGGUUCUCUUGUAGAAUUGAGGUUUUCUUCGCCGAUCUAAUGUUUUGCAUGAGGAAAUUGUGAUUGGGUGCUCUGUUCCGAUUGUGUUCGUCGUUUCCUUA
Molecule: long non-coding RNA, 246 nt
Filed under: Salvia miltiorrhiza (redroot sage)
Lineage: Eukaryota; Viridiplantae; Streptophyta; Magnoliopsida; Lamiales; Lamiaceae
Description: long non-coding RNA (SMIL_LNC002240)
Source: RNAcentral